CCAGGUGCCUGGCAAGCCUCUUUUCUAAGCACAUGACAAGACUGAGUUCAUUUCAUUCUCUUCCCAACCCCAGGAGCUAGACUCAGCGUCCUAAGGACCAGGACUGAGGGUUUCCAAAGCACGUAGGAGAUAUUCAGUUGGAUAUGCUGAACCUUUUCACACCUUAAGCUUGUCUCGUAGGACACGUUCCCGAAAUGGCUGCCAGGGCUUUGCCUCCGGGUCCGGAGAAGACAACUUUCCUGUAAGGGAUCCUGACGGCCUGUGUCGGAGGAGAAAACUUCCCACCGCCUGUUCUGAGCCGGCUCUCACGGACAGAGACACAUGUCAAUUGCGUGCCCAAGUCUACAUGGAGGAGCACAGAGAGGUGCUUGUUCUAGUUCUUUUCAUUAUAAAUCCUGCUACAAGGACAACGGAAGGGAAAUGGUCCCACGUUUUCAUUGAAAAGUCUGGGGAGGGGAGGAAAGAGUAAACGUCUUUGCGAUCAGAU
This is a long non-coding RNA of Lutra lutra (Eurasian river otter), 487 nucleotides long. RefSeq lists it as uncharacterized. Lineage: Eukaryota; Metazoa; Chordata; Mammalia; Carnivora; Mustelidae. The record is from RefSeq and is a predicted model, not a curated record. The transcript is spliced from 3 exons.